This 368-nucleotide ribosomal RNA is filed under the name Nanorana yunnanensis (Yunan spiny frog). RNAcentral describes it as "partial 12S ribosomal RNA". It matches the Rfam family "Bacterial small subunit ribosomal RNA", at positions 875 to 1384 of the family's 1533-position model. Lineage: Eukaryota; Metazoa; Chordata; Amphibia; Anura; Dicroglossidae. The record is from RNAcentral.
AAAUAUUAACUCACACCCAUCAACGCCCGGGUACUACGAGCCCCAGCUUAAAACCCAAAGGACUUGACGGUGUCCCAUCCACCUAGAGGAGCCUGUUCUAUAAUCGAUAAUCCCCGCUAAACCCAACCCCCUCUUGCAAUCAGCCUGUAUACCUCCGUCGUAAGCUUACCAUAUGAAUGACCCCAGUAAGCUAAAUGAUUAUAACACCCCAAUACGUCAGGUCAAGGUGCAGCUCAUGAGAAGGCAAGCAAUGGGCUACAAUUUCUAAUCUAGAACAAACGAAACACUGCAUGAAACUCAGCUGUGAAGGCGGAUUUAGUAGUAAAAAGAAAAUAGCGUGUUCUUUUUAACUAGGCCCUGGGACGUGU